AUGGCUUUAGUUUAAGUAGAAUGUCUGGUUUUGGUCCAGAAGGUUAAAGCCAUG
This 54-nucleotide transfer RNA is filed under the name Strongyloides fuelleborni fuelleborni. RNAcentral's name for it is "tRNA-Gln". Lineage: Eukaryota; Metazoa; Nematoda; Chromadorea; Rhabditida; Strongyloididae. The record is from RNAcentral.